RNAcentral lists this ribosomal RNA (370 nucleotides) under uncultured bacterium. RNAcentral describes it as "bacterial SSU rRNA". It matches the Rfam family "Bacterial small subunit ribosomal RNA", at positions 527 to 896 of the family's 1533-position model. The record is from RNAcentral.
GUAGGAUCCGAGCGUUAUCCGAAUUUACUGGCGUAAAGCGCGUGCAGGCGGUUUGAUAAGUUGGAUGUGAAAGCUCCCGGCUCAACUGGGAGAGGCCGUUCAAAACUAUCAGACUAGAGGACGGUAGAGGGAGGUAGAAUUCCCGGUGUAGUAGUGAAAUGCGUAGAUAUCGGGAGGAAUACCAGUGGCGAAGGCGGCCUCCUGGACCGUUCCUGACGCUCAGACGCGAAAGCUAGGGGAGCGAACGGGAUUAGAAACCCCGGUAGUCCUAGCCGUAAACGAUGCAAACUUGGUGUUGGUGGGGUAAAAUCCGCCGGUGCCGAAGCUAACGCGAUAAGUUUGCCGCCUGGGGACCACGGCCGCAAGGUUA